UCCACAGCAUUGUGACACGUGCAUCAGAGCAGACCACUGACGGGGGAGGGGGGGGGAAUUUCCAAAGUGAGCACCAGCAGGCCUUCCACACACCAGUUCUCUGGCUCACCAGCUUAAUGAAAAGAAAGGAGAAAUGGGCUCCAAAAGUAGGGCGUCUUCUUGCCACUAUUGACUCAGUGUCCCCUAGAUCCCUCUAGAGAGAAAGCAUAACAUUGAGCCAGCUGGCAUAGGGGAAAGGUUUACAGAGAGUAGCUCCAUUAUAACAAUGCAGGGGAAAGAGGGUGAGUUUGCGUUGAGAAAUAAAAAAUUGAUAAAUGGCAUGCCAAUUUUGUGGGAAGGUGUAUUAGGGUUCUCCAGAGAAAAAGAACCAACAGAACGUAUGUAUGUACAUGAGUAGGUGUCUAUCUGUCUAAAGGAAUUGUUUCACAGGAUUUUAGAGGCUUGGCAAGUCCAAAUUCUGCAGUGUAGGUCAAUAGGCUGGAGAUCCAGGGAAGAGAGGCAGUUUGAGUCCAGAGUGUCUGCUGGCAGAAUUCCCUUUCUUUCUAGGGAGAUCCGUCUUUUCCUAUGAAUUCCUUCAACUGAUUGGACAAGGUCCACCUACACUAUGGACGGUAAUCUGCUUUACUCAGAGUCCACUGAUUUAAAUGAAUGCACCAUGAUCUGGUCUAGAGUGUUUUUUGUGGGAAGGCUGCCAGUCAUGAAUUUGUUUCCUUCAAUCGAUGAAGAGCUCUACAGAUGAUCCAUUGCUUCCUGACUAAGCUUUGGUAGUUUGUCCUUCUGGAAUUUGAGUCCUAAUUGUGGAAAUGUAUUGAGAAGGAGUUUUUAUCAGCCUGGAUCCUUGGGAAAGUGUAAUGAGUAAAGCAUCC
Molecule: long non-coding RNA, 866 nt
Organism: Manis pentadactyla (Chinese pangolin)
Lineage: Eukaryota; Metazoa; Chordata; Mammalia; Pholidota; Manidae
Exons: 3
Source: RefSeq, a predicted model, not a curated record